AAAACCUAGACCUUAGACAAAUGAGAUCAGAUAUUAGAGAAAAGAAAAAUCAGAUUCUCUCUUACAAAAAACGAAAACGGCGCAUCUGAGUUCCGGUUCUUCUCCAUUUUUUCCUUCUUCUUAUCCAUUCUCACUUUGGCUCUAAUACACACUUCUCCUUAACACACACACACACACACCGCGUUGAAGCCUCUAGCAACAAGUGGGAAUUACAAAGUUUAGAGCUAAAAUUAAAAGAUUGCAAAGCUGAUUUUCAGUUUCAAAUCCUUGUCUUCUCUCACAUUUUUUGGGGAUUUCAGAGCUUGGUGGAGCUUUAGAACUUGUUUUGAAGCUGAGAGAUUGAUAUAAAUUCCAGUCAUUGUUUGAUUCCGCUAAUUUUUACUGUUUCUGGAAUUGCUGAGCUCCAAUUGGGUUGGUUUUCUAUCUUUAGUCGAUUUAUUCAAGUUUUCUUUGUUUACCAAGUUAGUUUGAAACUUCUCUGUAUUAUUCUUUUAGUAAGUGAUUAAAUAGUUGAUUUCCUGCUUAGCAUUGAAGAUCUUGUGUUAUUUUCAUGAAACAUGAUGCCUAUUGAAUUAAUUUGGUCACCUGCUACGUUUUUUUUCAUUAAUACAAGCUUUAAUCCUUAGGUUUGUGUAAAUAGUGUAAUAAUUUCAUUAAUCGACUAUGAGGAUUGAUUUUAUUAUUUACUCUACAUACAUCGCUUACAGGAUGGCAGCUCCUUCCCUUAUGCCCCUCAGAAAAGCAAGAACUACUGCUAAAUCAGAAGGAGUGUAUAGGACUAGAGUCUGGUCUUUUAGCAUUUAACCCUUUUAUGCCAAUGAUUUUGAUGUUCAAAAAGCAAUUACACGAAGGAGGUUUUUCUUAAACAGAUUUUUGAGUGGAAUACGUAGUGAGAUAUAUAUAGAAAGAAAAUUUGUGUAUCUUAAACACAUUUGAAAAAUAUUUGUAAUAUCCGUUGUUCAUAUCUUCUACUGCUUAUUGCUACUCGAAGAGGGUAAAUAAAAAUAUUCUUGUUGGUAUAUUAGGGUAAUUUGAUAUUAGUUGCAAAGACAUUACGUCUUGCAUUCAGAGAUUUCAAAUUACGCUCCAAGCAUGCUUGUUAACAGAGAAAGAGCAGAAUAUAAUUAAUAAGAUAUUGGAUGGUAAAUCUCUAAUUUUUGAAAUUGCAGUAUGUAUCGAGGAAACUCUAUUUCCUUCUUGAAAAUUGCAGCAGUUCAAAUGUAAAUAAUGCAAUUGCAGCAUUUAAGCAUUCCAUUCUUUUAGCUGUCGUGACCAAGUCUUAGCAACUUUGUCUUUGUGAUAUGAUUUGUACUUCUGAAAGUUCCUAACUGACAGAACAAUUUAAACAUCCAUUCAAGUACAUAUUUUUAAUGCAUAAGGAAGGUGAGUUUUACCUACAAGCUGUAUGGAGCAUUCUUGAACUAGUUAGGCGUAAAUUUCAUUUGCUUGCCUAUGUGAAGUUUGAUGAGGCUUCUUAUUUGUUGCAGAUUUUUCACCCAGUGGAACCAAAUAAUGAAACUUCUUAUUAGUUUACUAGCUUAUUUUUUUGAGAUUUAAGGCAGAGCUUAUUGUAAUUCAACUUCUUUGUAGAUAUUAAUUAAUGGACAUCGUAGCUUGCAUUAGGCGUGAUUAAAUAAAUCAUCACAACUACGGGUAUGGUUCCCGUGGCGUAGUUGUAAUACCUAAUUUCAAAUUAGAUUUAAAUAGGAGCAUCCUUAGUUUGCUUUAGUGAAAUACAAAUCUUUUAAAGAUAAAUCGAG
Molecule: long non-coding RNA, 1760 nt
Filed under: Nicotiana tabacum (common tobacco)
Lineage: Eukaryota; Viridiplantae; Streptophyta; Magnoliopsida; Solanales; Solanaceae
Description: long non-coding RNA (NTAB_LNC007434)
Source: RNAcentral